RNAcentral lists this ribosomal RNA (449 nucleotides) under uncultured bacterium. RNAcentral describes it as "partial 16S ribosomal RNA". It matches the Rfam family "Bacterial small subunit ribosomal RNA", at positions 331 to 793 of the family's 1533-position model. The record is from RNAcentral.
CCAGACUCCUACGGGAGGCAGCAGUGGGGAAUAUUGCACAAUGGGGGGAACCCUGAUGCAGCGACGCCGCGUGGGCGAGGAAGUAUUUCGGUAUGUAAAGCCCUAUCGGCAGGGAAGGAGAAAUGACGGUACCUGAAUAAGAAGCCCCGGCUAACUACGUGCCAGCAGCCGCGGUAAUACGUAGGGGGCAAGCGUUAUCCGGAUUUACUGGGUGUAAAGGGGGCGCAGACGGCGAUGCAAGCCAGGAGUGAAAGCCCGGGGCCCAACCCCGGGACUGCUCUUGGAACUGCGUGGCUGGAGUGCAGGAGGGGCAGGCGGAAUUCCUGGUGUAGCGGUGAAAUGCGUAGAUAUCAGGAGGAACACCGGUGGCGAAGGCGGCCUGCUGGGCUGCAACUGACGUUGAGGCCCGAAAGCGUGGGGAGCAAACAGGAUUAGAUACCCCAGUAUUG